GGGCGGUUAGCUCAGUUGGUUAGAGCGCCGCGUUGACAUCGCGGAGGUUCGUAGGUUCGAGUCCUAUACCGCCCA
This 75-nucleotide transfer RNA is filed under the name Chloroflexota bacterium. Its description in RNAcentral is "Chloroflexi bacterium (anaerobic digester metagenome) tRNA-Val". It matches the Rfam family "tRNA". Rfam says of the family: Transfer RNA (tRNA) molecules are approximately 80 nucleotides in length. Their secondary structure includes four short double-helical elements and three loops (D, anti-codon, and T loops). Further hydrogen bonds mediate the characteristic L-shaped molecular structure. tRNAs have two regions of fundamental functional importance: the anti-codon, which is responsible for specific mRNA codon recognition, and the 3' end, to which the tRNAs corresponding amino acid is attached (by aminoacyl-tRNA synthetases). tRNAs cope with the degeneracy of the genetic code in two manners: having more than one tRNA (with a specific anti-codon) for a particular amino acid; and 'wobble' base-pairing, i.e. permitting non-standard base-pairing at the 3rd anti-codon position. The record is from RNAcentral. Lineage: Bacteria; Bacillati; Chloroflexota.